This 1546-nucleotide ribosomal RNA is filed under the name Escherichia coli. RNAcentral's name for it is "bacterial SSU rRNA". It matches the Rfam family "Bacterial small subunit ribosomal RNA". Lineage: Bacteria; Pseudomonadati; Pseudomonadota; Gammaproteobacteria; Enterobacterales; Enterobacteriaceae. The record is from RNAcentral.
UUAAAUUGAAGAGUUUGAUCAUGGCUCAGAUUGAACGCUGGCGGCAGGCCUAACACAUGCAAGUCGAACGGUAACAGGAAACAGCUUGCUGUUUCGCUGACGAGUGGCGGACGGGUGAGUAAUGUCUGGGAAACUGCCUGAUGGAGGGGGAUAACUACUGGAAACGGUAGCUAAUACCGCAUAACGUCGCAAGACCAAAGAGGGGGACCUUCGGGCCUCUUGCCAUCAGAUGUGCCCAGAUGGGAUUAGCUAGUAGGUGGGGUAACGGCUCACCUAGGCGACGAUCCCUAGCUGGUCUGAGAGGAUGACCAGCCACACUGGAACUGAGACACGGUCCAGACUCCUACGGGAGGCAGCAGUGGGGAAUAUUGCACAAUGGGCGCAAGCCUGAUGCAGCCAUGCCGCGUGUAUGAAGAAGGCCUUCGGGUUGUAAAGUACUUUCAGCGGGGAGGAAGGGAGUAAAGUUAAUACCUUUGCUCAUUGACGUUACCCGCAGAAGAAGCACCGGCUAACUCCGUGCCAGCAGCCGCGGUAAUACGGAGGGUGCAAGCGUUAAUCGGAAUUACUGGGCGUAAAGCGCACGCAGGCGGUUUGUUAAGUCAGAUGUGAAAUCCCCGGGCUCAACCUGGGAACUGCAUCUGAUACUGGCAAGCUUGAGUCUCGUAGAGGGGGGUAGAAUUCCAGGUGUAGCGGUGAAAUGCGUAGAGAUCUGGAGGAAUACCGGUGGCGAAGGCGGCCCCCUGGACGAAGACUGACGCUCAGGUGCGAAAGCGUGGGGAGCAAACAGGAUUAGAUACCCUGGUAGUCCACGCCGUAAACGAUGUCGACUUGGAGGUUGUGCCCUUGAGGCGUGGCUUCCGGAGCUAACGCGUUAAGUCGACCGCCUGGGGAGUACGGCCGCAAGGUUAAAACUCAAAUGAAUUGACGGGGGCCCGCACAAGCGGUGGAGCAUGUGGUUUAAUUCGAUGCAACGCGAAGAACCUUACCUGGUCUUGACAUCCACGGAAGUUUUCAGAGAUGAGAAUGUGCCUUCGGGAACCGUGAGACAGGUGCUGCAUGGCUGUCGUCAGCUCGUGUUGUGAAAUGUUGGGUUAAGUCCCGCAACGAGCGCAACCCUUAUCCUUUGUUGCCAGCGGUCCGGCCGGGAACUCAAAGGAGACUGCCAGUGAUAAACUGGAGGAAGGUGGGGAUGACGUCAAGUCAUCAUGGCCCUUACGACCAGGGCUACACACGUGCUACAAUGGCGCAUACAAAGAGAAGCGACCUCGCGAGAGCAAGCGGACCUCAUAAAGUGCGUCGUAGUCCGGAUUGGAGUCUGCAACUCGACUCCAUGAAGUCGGAAUCGCUAGUAAUCGUGGAUCAGAAUGCCACGGUGAAUACGUUCCCGGGCCUUGUACACACCGCCCGUCACACCAUGGGAGUGGGUUGCAAAAGAAGUAGGUAGCUUAACCUUCGGGAGGGCGCUUACCACUUUGUGAUUCAUGACUGGGGUGAAGUCGUAACAAGGUAACCGUAGGGGAACCUGCGGUUGGAUCACCUCCUUACC